Molecule: ribosomal RNA, 432 nt
Filed under: uncultured archaeon
Lineage: Archaea
Description: bacterial SSU rRNA
Rfam family: Archaeal small subunit ribosomal RNA
Source: RNAcentral
GGACCCGACUGCUAUCAAAGUGGGACUACCCCAUGCGAGUCAACAUAGCAAUAUGUGGCAUACGGCUCAGUAACACGUAUUCAACAUGCCCAGGGGACGUGAAUAACCUCGGGAAACUGAGGAUAAACCGCGAUAGGUCAUCACUUCUGGAAUGGGUAAUGACUUAAACCUAUAUGGCCCCUGGAUUGGACUGCGGCCGAUCAGGCUGUUGGUGAGGUAAUGGCCCACCAAACCUGUAACCGGUACGGGCUCUGAGAGGAGGAGCCCGGAGAUGGGCACUGAGACAAGGGCCCAGGCCCUAUGGGGCGCACCAGGCGCGAAACCUCUGCAAUAGGCGAAAGCUUGACAGGGUUACUCUGAGUGAUUUCCGUUAAGGAGAUCUUUUGGCACCUCUAAAAAUGGUGCAAAAUAAGGGGUGGGCAAGUCUGGUGU